GAUGAACGCUGGCGGUGUGCCUAAUACAUGCAAGUCGAGCGGACAGAUGAUGAGCUUUUUCCUCUAACGUUAGCGGCUGACGGGCGAGUAACACGUAGAUAACCUUCCUAUAUUACGUGGGUUAUUACGUGAGGCCACAUCUAAUACCGGAUAAUAUAAUCUACCGCAUGGUUCAAUAGUUAAUCACGGCUUUCCUGACUCAUAUAGAUGGUUUCGCGUCGGAUUAGCUAGUUGGUAAGGUAACGGCUUACCAAGGCGACGAUGCGUAGCCGAGCUGAGAGGAUGAUCGGCCACACUGGAACUGAGACACGGUCCAGACUCCUACGGGAGGCAGCAGUAGGGAAUCUUGCGCAAUGGGCGAAAGCCUGACGCAGCAACACCGCGUGAGUGAUGAAGGUCUUCGGAUUGUAAAGCUCUUUUAUUAGGGAAGAAAAGAUGUAUAAGAAUCUCUGCACGUCCUGACGGUACCUAAUCAGAAAGCAACGGCUAACUACGUG
Molecule: ribosomal RNA, 497 nt
Filed under: uncultured bacterium
Lineage: Bacteria
Description: partial 16S ribosomal RNA
Rfam family: Bacterial small subunit ribosomal RNA
Source: RNAcentral